CUUUUUUAUGAAUGGGAGGGAAGGGAGCUCCAGUGCGCACGCGCGCAGUCCGCGAUUCUAUGAAUGGGUGGGCACAAGAGACCCCGCGCGCGCAUGCGCUGCGCUCCUUUUUUUAUGAAUGGGGGGCCGGAAAAGAACUUAACCCGUGAUUGCUGGGGCUGGCUCUGGCUCCUUAAGGGGCCGUAGUUCUUUUACAAAGAGGGGUGGAGGUUCGGGCGGAGGUUGUUGUUGGUUUUUUUUUUUUUUUUGAAUGAAUGGAGGGCGGCGGCGACUGCUGCAGCUGGUUCAGCUGCGCGGGCUUUACCCCCUCCCAGCCUGCAAGAGGAGGUAUCAGAGCCUUCACCGGACACUGGCUUAAGGAGCAUCCGUCCAUCGAAGGCCGACGGCCGGUGGCUGCCAUAAUCGACUUUCCCAAACCCCCUUCCAUCACCGCCUCCCCCUCCAGCUCCCCUAAAGGGAAGCGGGAGAAGCAGAGAACUGGCCAGGGCCUGCCAGAUUGCCAAGAUGUCGGGCCCAUCCUGCCUCCCUGACUUGGAGGCACACUGUCCACGCUCUUGCCUUACAAACAGCCCAGAGAGUGUUUGUUCCUGUGCAGGAGAGGCCCGUGAAAGAAGCUACCUUUAAUUCUUCCUGAGAGAUGUUUUCAGGUCCUUCUUGGAGGAGACUGUUCUGCACUUGGCAUUAUAAACAGACACAUGUCACUUGCCUUCUGGAUUUCUGGACCAAAGUUCUGACCACAAAGCCCUGUUUCUCUUCAGGACGUGGAUGGUUACAUUCUCUUUCUCAGACUCCAGAACAGGACUUAGGGAAAUGAGAGCCUUUGAACACUAGUGCCAUUCCCAACAUCCACCACUGCUACAGCAUGGCCAUCGAGAAGCACCUGGGACAUUUUUUCUUCUCCCAUGAGCUUUGUUGUAUCGUUUGGAGCCAGCAACUCUCAAAUCCACCUUCUGUAACCCAGAAAUGUCAUAGGACACUGGACAAUUGGAGAAGAGACAGCUGACCAGAACAACUUCUAGUAAUAGAAGCCCCUGGUGAUCAGAUGAUGCAUGCGAGCAGUGGCAGCGUUUUGCAAAAGGAGACCGCGUAAAUUUAAGCCUCACCUUGAGCCCCAAGGAAUGGAGCCAGCCUUCUCUAUGGACUAAGACCUCUGAAACGCCAGCAGAGAUCCACAAAGAACUCUGUUCCAGAGCAGCAGGAGCUAGAGCAGCACGUGGCCCCUCUGUGAGCCGGCAGGGACUCCCUGUUGCCAUCCACACUGAUUCGGUCAUUUAUGUCGACGGACUCCCUCAGAUAUUGGAGUUUGUGACCCCACACUUACAGGAAAAAAAUGAACAACAUUAUGGUGUGGGACCAACUGGGGGCUGCGGAGUGUGUCACGCGGAGCCCGGUUUAGUUGCCAUAGCUGAAUGGAUGAAUGACUCUGUUCCAACAAUGCAGCAGGGUCGUUCUGGCGACUGUAUCUCUGGAAGGCCACAGAUGAUGUCUAUUAUGUCCCCAGGCAUCAGCCAUUACCUUGGAAACAGGCCAUCCUGACAGCAUGUCAAGGAAGUUGUUAUAGGGAAUUAUUUCAGCCAGAAGAGAUCUCUGCAAAGCAAUCUGUUCCAGCCUACUGUGUCAUGGAGUGGUCCCCAUGUCCCCGAUUUUUUUUUUUUUUUUUUUUUAAUGCUGGAAAUACAGCAGCAGCCAGCAUGAAGCCUACACCUGUCAUGAGCUAAUGUUCGAUUCCUGCCAAGGUUUGCACUUGGGUUCCAUUAACAGGGCAGAAAGGACCAUCCCGGGAAGCACGUUAAUAUUUAACCCUUUACCCGCAUAUUUUCUCUCUGUGGGAGAAACCUGCCACUCGCCAAACCACCACCAACCGGCAGUUUGGAAUUUCGCUUCUGUUUUUUAAACUCUUUCUUUCUUUCUUUCUUUCUUUCUUUCUUUCUUUCUUUCUUUCUUUCUUUCUUUCUUUCUUUCUUUUCUUUCUUUCUUUCUUUCUUUCUUUCUUUCUUUCUUUUCUUUCUUUCUUUCUUUCUUUCUUUCUUUUUUUGUUUUGGAGGCAGACUAGAGAAAGGAAAAUGAAUAGAAACUGGGCUUCAAGUGCAAGAGCCAUACACCUUUUUUUUUUUUUUUUUUGAAAAAAAUCAAGGAAGAGUGAAGCGGAGCUUGGCUGGAGAGUGUUCAUUGGCAGAAAUGAUAUGAAGCUGAGACAAGAACCAAACCUCAUUAGUGUCAAAUGUCUCCUUCCUUUCCAGCUGCAGCCAGAGCAGAACCUAAGGAUGUGUGGUUGGGAGUCAGCAGCUCCAAGCCUCAGAACAGCAAUCCGGUUUCUAUGUCUUCCAAGGGGUGGGGACCGUUUUUCAGAUGGGGAUUUAUUUUUCACUCUGUGCUUUUCUACAGUGAGUUUUGGGAUACUCCUCCUCAUUCCUAGCCUCUGUGGACUUGAGAAUGCUCCAGUCAGGACUGGAAUAACUGAAGAGAGAUAAAUGGCCCAAAGGAUGAUGGGGAGGAGUGGAGCCCCAGAUGAAGAGGCUGAGGGUCUAGGAGGCCUGACCGCAGUUCUGCUUUUCUGAAGAGGCCUUGACCUCAGGCGGAAAAAAGCUGUAUCUGUGGAACAUACACUCCAGUGGGAAGGGAGACAGGCAGUAAAAAUCAACGCAUAUUCUGUCCAGCGAGGAUCCCCUGAAGGAGGUGGUCCCUACUCCAGGUGACAGAUGACGAGCUGGAGCUUUGGCUAGAGCAUCUGCUUGCACUCCAAGUUAUAAGAAGAGGCGACACCAUGGCCAGAACGAGGCUCGAGUCUCCCAAGGAUCCUGCGAUUUCCUCUCUUUCACACAACCUCUUGAGCUCCAAUUAUGGGAUGGGCUGAUCCAAAUCCAGCCAUACUCUCCAGCUUCUCAUGACCCUGCAAUUCAAGGUUUCCCAGAAGAGCUGGCUUUACCCCAAGGAGCAUGUCACCAAGGCUGUCCUUCCUCUCCCAUUCUGGAUAUCAGAGCCUCCUCCAUUGAUUCAGAAAACUGAUAAGACUUACUAGAGACAUUUAAAGCCAGGGUCAAUAAAAGCUUGUUUUCCUCUUGUGUGGGCCGAUCACAUGAAUAAAUUGUAUAUCAUGCCCAACACAAUGGACUACAAUCUUAGUCCAUUUACUUGCAGGAAAUGCUGCUUGUAUUUAAUGAACUAGAUUUUUUUUUCCUUGUGGAUUACUCUGGUACUUAUUUUCCACUGAGAAUAAAGCAUGCAGGAAGUCCAUUUGAAAAAAAAAAAAAA
Non-coding RNA from Ictidomys tridecemlineatus (thirteen-lined ground squirrel), 3252 nucleotides. Lineage: Eukaryota; Metazoa; Chordata; Mammalia; Rodentia; Sciuridae. The record is from RefSeq and is a predicted model, not a curated record.